RNAcentral lists this ribosomal RNA (245 nucleotides) under uncultured Fretibacterium sp. Its description in RNAcentral is "partial 16S ribosomal RNA". It matches the Rfam family "Bacterial small subunit ribosomal RNA", at positions 524 to 769 of the family's 1533-position model. Lineage: Bacteria; Thermotogati; Synergistota; Synergistia; Synergistales; Aminobacteriaceae. The record is from RNAcentral.
UACGUAGGGGGCGAGCGUUGUCCGGAAUUACUGGGCGUAAAGGGCACGCAGGCUGUGCGUCAAGUCAUCUGUAAAAGGAUGCGGCUUAACCGUGUUAAGCAGAUGAGACUGAGGUGCUGGAGUGCUGGAGAGGCAAGCGGAAUUCCCAGUGUAGCGGUGAAAUGCGUAGAUAUUGGGAAGAACAUCGGUGGCGAAGGCGGCUUGCUGGCCAGUAACUGACGCUGAGGUGCGAAAGCCAGGGUAGC